UUGGUCAUUUAGAGGAAGUAAAAGUCGUAACAAGGUCUCCGUUGGUGAACCAGCGGAGGGAUCAUUACCGAGUUUUCAACUCCCAAACCCCUGUGAACAUACCUUAUGUUGCCUCGGCGGAUCAGCCCGCGCCCCGUAAAAAGGGACGGCCCGCCGCAGGAACCCUAAACUCUGUUUUUAGUGGAACUUCUGAGUAUAAAAAACAAAUAAAUCAAAACUUUCAACAACGGAUCUCUUGGUUCUGGCAUCGAUGAAGAACGCAGCAAAAUGCGAUAAGUAAUGUGAAUUGCAGAAUUCAGUGAAUCAUCGAAUCUUUGAACGCACAUUGCGCCCGCCAGUAUUCUGGCGGGCAUGCCUGUUCGAGCGUCAUUUCAACCCUCAAGCCCAGCUUGGUGUUGGGAGCUGCAGUCCUGCUGCACUCCCCAAAUACAUUGGCGGUCACGUCGAGCUUCCAUAGCGUAGUAAUUUACACAUCGUUACUGGUAAUCGUCGCGGCCACGCCGUUAAACCCCAACUUCUGAAUGUUGACCUCGGAUCAGGUAGGAAUACCCGCUGAACUUAAGCAUAUCAAUAAGCGGAGGAA
Molecule: ribosomal RNA, 583 nt
Filed under: fungal sp. APA-2013
Lineage: Eukaryota; Fungi
Description: eukaryotic LSU rRNA
Rfam family: 5.8S ribosomal RNA (bases 216-369)
Source: RNAcentral